GGAGAGGUGGCAGAGUGGUUGAAUGUACCUGACUCGAAAUCAGGCAUAGAUGAAAGUCUAUCGAGGGUUCAAAUCCCUCUCUCUCCGCCA
This 90-nucleotide transfer RNA is filed under the name Sulfuriferula sp. RNAcentral's name for it is "tRNA-Ser". It matches the Rfam family "tRNA". Rfam says of the family: Transfer RNA (tRNA) molecules are approximately 80 nucleotides in length. Their secondary structure includes four short double-helical elements and three loops (D, anti-codon, and T loops). Further hydrogen bonds mediate the characteristic L-shaped molecular structure. tRNAs have two regions of fundamental functional importance: the anti-codon, which is responsible for specific mRNA codon recognition, and the 3' end, to which the tRNAs corresponding amino acid is attached (by aminoacyl-tRNA synthetases). tRNAs cope with the degeneracy of the genetic code in two manners: having more than one tRNA (with a specific anti-codon) for a particular amino acid; and 'wobble' base-pairing, i.e. permitting non-standard base-pairing at the 3rd anti-codon position. The record is from RNAcentral. Lineage: Bacteria; Pseudomonadati; Pseudomonadota; Betaproteobacteria; Nitrosomonadales; Sulfuricellaceae.